This 301-nucleotide ribosomal RNA is filed under the name uncultured bacterium. Its description in RNAcentral is "partial 16S ribosomal RNA". It matches the Rfam family "Bacterial small subunit ribosomal RNA", at positions 509 to 807 of the family's 1533-position model. The record is from RNAcentral.
CAGCAGCCGCGGUAAGACAGAGGAUGCAAGCGUUAUCCGGAAUGAUUGGGCGUAAAGCGUCUGUAGGUGGCUUUUCAAGUCCGCCGUCAAAUCCCAGGGCUCAACCCUGGACAGGCGGCGGAAACUACCAAGCUGGAGUACGGUAGGGGCAGAGGGAAUUUCCGGUGGAGCGGUGAAAUGCGUAGAGACGUGGAGGAAUACCGAUGGCGAAGGCAGCCCCCUGGGCCAGUACUGACGCUCAUGCACGAAAGCGUGGGGAGCAAACAGGAUUAGAUACCCGGGUAGUCCAUGUCUCUUAUAC